CAGCCGCCGCGGUAAUACCGGCGGCCCGAGUGGUGGCCGCUAUUAUUGGGCCUAAAGCGUCCGUAGCCGGGUUGGGAAGUCCUCCGGGAAAUCUGGCCGCUUAACGGUCAGAAUGCCGGAGGAUACUCCCAGCCUAGGGAGCGGGAGAGGCCGAGGGUAUUCCCGGAGUAGGGGUGAAAUCCUAUAAUCCCGGGAGGACCACCUGUGGCGAAGGCGCUCGGCUGGAACGCGUCCGACGGUGAGGGACGAAGGCCAGGGGAGCAAACCGGAUUAGAUACCCGGGUAGUCCUGGCGGUAAACGAUGCGGACUUUGUGUCGGACAAGCUAUGAGCUUGUCCGGUGCCGGAGGGAAACCGUUAAGUCCGCCGCCUGGGGAGUACGGCCGCAAGGCUGAAACUUAAAGGAAUUGGCGGG
This 414-nucleotide ribosomal RNA is filed under the name uncultured microorganism. Its description in RNAcentral is "bacterial SSU rRNA". It matches the Rfam family "Archaeal small subunit ribosomal RNA", at positions 459 to 872 of the family's 1478-position model. The record is from RNAcentral.